RNAcentral lists this ribosomal RNA (504 nucleotides) under uncultured bacterium. Its description in RNAcentral is "partial 16S ribosomal RNA". It matches the Rfam family "Bacterial small subunit ribosomal RNA", at positions 28 to 506 of the family's 1533-position model. The record is from RNAcentral.
GACGAACGCUGGCGGCGUGCCUAAUACAUGCAAGUGGGACGCAAGGAAACACACUGUGCUUGCACACCGUGUUUUCUUGAGUCGCGAACGGGUGAGUAACGCGUAGGUAACCUGCCUAUUAGCGGGGGAUAACUAUUGGAAACGAUAGCUAAUACCGCAUAAUAUUAAUUAUUGCAUGAUAAUUGAUUGAAAGAUGCAAGCGCAUCACUAGUAGAUGGACCUGCGUUGUAUUAGCUAGUUGGUAAGGUAAGAGCUUACCAAGGCGACGAUACAUAGCCGACCUGAGAGGGUGAUCGGCCACACUGGGACUGAGACACGGCCCAGACUCCUACGGGAGGCAGCAGUAGGGAAUCUUCGGCAAUGGACGAAAGUCUGACCGAGCAACGCCGCGUGAGUGAAGAAGGUUUUCGGAUCGUAAAGCUCUGUUGUAAGUCAAGAACGUGUGUGAGAGUGGAAAGUUCACACAGUGACGGUAGCUUACCAGAAAGGGACGGCUAACUAUGU